Molecule: ribosomal RNA, 405 nt
Filed under: uncultured bacterium
Lineage: Bacteria
Description: bacterial SSU rRNA
Rfam family: Bacterial small subunit ribosomal RNA
Source: RNAcentral
UAAGGAAUAUUGCACAAUGGGCGAAAGCCUGAUGCAGCAACGCCGCGUGGGUGAUGAAGGCCUUCGGGUCGUAAAACCCUUUUCUGGGGGAAGAGUAAGGACGGUACCUCAGGAAUAAGCACCGGCUAACUACGUGCCAGCAGCCGCGGUAACACGUAGGGUGCAAGCGUUAUCCGGAUUUACUGGGCGUAAAGCGCGCGCAGGCGGCAUCGUAAGUUGGACGUGAAAUCUUUCGGCUUAACCGGGAGGCGCCGUUCAAAACUACGAUGCUCGAGGGCAGAAGAGGGGAGUGGAAUUCCCGGUGUAGUGGUAAAAUGCUUAGAUAUCGGGAGGAACACCAGUGGCGAAGGCGACUCCCUGGUCUGCACCUGACGCUGAGGCGCGAAAGCGUGGGGAGCGAACGGG